Molecule: ribosomal RNA, 508 nt
Filed under: uncultured bacterium
Lineage: Bacteria
Description: partial 16S ribosomal RNA
Rfam family: Bacterial small subunit ribosomal RNA
Source: RNAcentral
GACGAACGCUGGCGGCGCGCUUAACACAUGCAAGUCGAGCGAGAACCAGGGCUUCGGCCCUGGGGACAGCGGCGAACGGGUGAGUAACACGUGGGUAAUCUGCCCUCGGCACCGGAAUAGCCCGGGGAAACCCGGAUUAAUGCCGGAUGGCCCCUUCACCUCGCGAGGUGUCGGGAAAAGGUAGCUUCGGCCUCUGGCCGAGGAUGAGCCCGCGGCGGAUUAGCUUGUUGGCGGGGUAACGGCCCACCAAGGCGACGAUCCGUAGCUGGGCGGAGAGGCAGAUCAGCCACACUGGGACUGAGACACGGCCCAGACGCCUACGGGAGGCAGGAGGGGGGAAUCUUGCGCAAUGGGCGAAAGCCUGACGCAGCGACGCCGCGUGAGGUAAGAAGGCCUUCGGGUUGUAACCCUCUUUCAGGAGGGACGAAGCUACUCGGGUGAAUAGCCCAGAGGGUGACGGUACCUCCAGAAGAAGCCCCGGCUAACUACGUGCCAGCAGCCGCCGUAA